This 128-nucleotide small nucleolar RNA is filed under the name Procavia capensis (Cape rock hyrax). Its description in RNAcentral is "Small nucleolar RNA SNORA51 (ENSPCAG00000019290.1)". It matches the Rfam family "Small nucleolar RNA SNORA51". Rfam says of the family: ACA51 is a member of the H/ACA class of snoRNA that guide the sites of modification of uridines to pseudouridines. The record is from RNAcentral. Lineage: Eukaryota; Metazoa; Chordata; Mammalia; Hyracoidea; Procaviidae.
GGCCUCCUGGUGCUUACCACAGGCUGUGUUCAUACACUGACUGUAUAGAAAGAGGAGGCAAAGUAAGUACCCUACAUACACCUCAGCCCGGGCCUUGUGCCUGGUUGUAUGUGAAUGGGGUAACAUCU